RNAcentral lists this ribosomal RNA (253 nucleotides) under uncultured bacterium. Its description in RNAcentral is "partial 16S ribosomal RNA". It matches the Rfam family "Bacterial small subunit ribosomal RNA", at positions 524 to 776 of the family's 1533-position model. The record is from RNAcentral.
UACGUAGGGAGCGAGCGUUGUCCGGAAUCAUUGGGCGUAAAGCGCGCGUAGGCGGCCCGAUAAGUCCGCUGUGAAAGUCCACGGCUCAACUGUUGAAAGCCGGUGGAUACUGUCGGGCUAGAGUACGGAAGAGGCAAGUGGAAUUCCUGGUGUAGCGGUGGAAUGCGCAGAUAUCAGGAGGAACACCCAUAGCGAAGGCAGCUUGCUGGGACGUUACUGACGCUAAGGCGCGAAAGCGUGGGGAGCGAACAGG